UACGUAGGUGGCAAGCGUUACUCGGAAUCACUAGGCGUAAAGCGCAGGUAGGCGGUUGGAUAAGUCUGUUGUGAAAGCUCCCCGGCUUAACUGGGAGAGGUCAACGGAAACUAUCCGGCUAGAGUGUGGUAGAGGAAGAUGGAAUUCCCGGUGUAGCGGUGAAAUGCGUAGAUAUCGGGAGGAAUACCUAUGGCGAAAGCAGUCUCUGGACCAUCACUGACGCUGAUCUGCGAAAGCUAGGGGAGCAAACAGG
RNAcentral lists this ribosomal RNA (253 nucleotides) under uncultured bacterium. Its description in RNAcentral is "partial 16S ribosomal RNA". It matches the Rfam family "Bacterial small subunit ribosomal RNA", at positions 524 to 776 of the family's 1533-position model. The record is from RNAcentral.